Apodemus sylvaticus (European woodmouse) is the source of this 1354-nucleotide long non-coding RNA. RefSeq lists it as uncharacterized. The transcript is spliced from 3 exons. The record is from RefSeq and is a predicted model, not a curated record. Lineage: Eukaryota; Metazoa; Chordata; Mammalia; Rodentia; Muridae.
UCUCAGUCUCCAUCUCUGGUUUCUGUCUCAGUCUCUCUCUCUCUCCCUUUCUCUCACGUACUGGGUGGGGGCUGAGCCUAAGGCGUGCUGUGCGUUAGGCAAGUGCUCUAACGCUGAACUCCACGCACAGCUAACUUCUUCCUCUUUUGAAGGUGGGGGUAGACAACUGCGGGGACCGCGGUGUUUCCGAACCGGAGCCAAGCGCGCGUGGCGUGGGUGGGGUGGGGGUGGGGCCAGGAGGUUUUGAACACCGAGAGCAGCUCCUGUUCAGGAAGGUUUCGUCCAGCUGCGGGGAAGGCUGCUCUGCCCAGCACUGUCUAGAAGAGCAGUCCUAGAGGGAACGAGCGCUCCAGGGCGGCCAUCUGCACCCCCAGCUUCCUCUGAAGAGGGUCUUAGACCGUCUAGCCCGCUGUUUCUCACAGAAGAAACACCUCCUCCACAGUAGAUGAGCCAACAUGCACACGCGAGUCCAUGCGCGUGCCCACGGCUCAUGCUCUGCCCCGAUCCUCGGUAUGCUGCCCACCAAAACCAACCAACAGAAGAACUAACCACAUUUUUAAAAAUGUUUCCACCAAAGGUUUAACCUUAGUCAUCGCAAAUGAAAAGUCACCAGGAAGUGACGAGGUUAAAAAAAUAAAACAACUGAAACUGCCUGGCAUCUGCCUAAUGCUGUGCGGUGCCGCGUUCCAGGAGUGUUCUGUGACCUUUCGUUUGGGCUGGUUCCGUGGUCCUCAGAGUUUAUCAUAUGUGAAGACUGGCACUGAACUUGGGGUGACAGCCUGUGCCCUAAAACUAUGUUUGUCCGCCCAUCCUCAACAAGCCAAUUUAGAGUCGAAUUAACAGUGGAAACCAGAAAAAGGACAUUCCCUCACGCCCAGUCCACAGAGCCGCCUUCCUGGUCCUGACUGAGAUCAAGGUUUAAAUUGAAAGCUGCGAUCUACACAGGGUUUCUGUCCGGACCUCUUCUACUGUAACGCCUAAGAUUAUGGAACCACCACCAAGAGUCCGUCCUCAAACUAUCUCCCAUGCAUCUCUGAUGUGGUCUGUCUCCAUAACCUCAAGAGACUGGAACCUUGGCUGUCCUGGAACUCACUGUGUAGACCAGUUUGGCCUCAAACUCACGGAGAUCAACCUGCCUUUGAGUGUUGGGAUUAAAGGUCUCAUGAUCUAAGUUGGUUUUGGCAUGUCCUACAGGUCCCAUGUCACAUUGGUGUUGAUUGACUAUGCUUGGCUAUUUACUGCUAAAUGUGUAUCAAUAAAGAAUGCUUUAAAUCUCAUCGAUAAUCUGAAACAAUAAUGAUUACACACACGCACAAGUACGUACUCAAUUCUGACAAAAUUUUACAUAUUUUAU